AACGAACGCUGGCGGCAUGCCUAACACAUGCAAGUCGAACGAGACCUUCGGGUCUAGUGGCGCACGGGUGCGUAACGCGUGGGAGCCUGCCCUUAGGUUCGGAAUAACUCCCCGAAAGGGGUGCUAAUACCGGAUAAUGUCUUCGGACCAAAGAUUUAUCGCCUUUGGAUGGGCCCGCGUUGGAUUAGCUAGUUGGUAGGGUAAAAGCCUACCAAGGCGACGAUCCAUAGCUGGUCUGAGAGGAUGAUCAGCCACACUGGGACUGAGACACGGCCCAGACUCCUACGGGAGGCAGCAGUGGGGAAUAUUGGACAAUGGGCGAAAGCCUGAUCCAGCAAUGCCGCGUGAGUGAUGAAGGCCUUAGGGUUGUAAAGCUCUUUUACCCGGGAUGAUAAUGACAGUACCGGGAGAAUAAGCUCCGGCUAACUCCGUG
Molecule: ribosomal RNA, 433 nt
Filed under: uncultured bacterium
Lineage: Bacteria
Description: partial 16S ribosomal RNA
Rfam family: Bacterial small subunit ribosomal RNA
Source: RNAcentral